GAGCUGAUCACCAUAAGUAUGCUGUCAAUAACAGGAACUAAGCACAAGCUUAAGUGCUAGCUAGUGACAGAAUAAAACAAAACAAAAACAGUAACAACAAAAACCUCCCUCCCUUUCUAAAUGAUGCAGGGUGUGUUCCAGAAGACUCCUAGGGUUCCUUUGUUGCUGCCCUCCCCAACAGCCGCAUUUGACCAACUGGCAUAAUUGGAGAAGUUACCCGUUAGAUGAAUACUGUUCCAGGCAGUGCCCACUUAGCCUCAUCUGGAUGCUUGAAUUUUUGAGAACAGGAC
Molecule: long non-coding RNA, 290 nt
Filed under: Rattus norvegicus (Norway rat)
Lineage: Eukaryota; Metazoa; Chordata; Mammalia; Rodentia; Muridae
Description: long non-coding RNA NONRATT033100
Source: RNAcentral